RNAcentral lists this ribosomal RNA (305 nucleotides) under uncultured bacterium. Its description in RNAcentral is "bacterial SSU rRNA". It matches the Rfam family "Bacterial small subunit ribosomal RNA", at positions 332 to 654 of the family's 1533-position model. The record is from RNAcentral.
CGCACCCUACGGGAGGCAGCAGUCGGGAAUAUUGCGCAAUGGAGGAAACUCUGACGCAGUGACGCCGCGUAUAGGAAGAAGGUCUUCGGAUUGUAAACUAUUGUCGUUAGGGAAGAAAGAGGACAGUACCUAAGGAGGAAGCUCCGGCUAACUACGUGCCAGCAGCCGCGGUAAUACGUAGGGAGCGAGCGUUAUCCGGAUUUAUUGGGUGUAAAGGGUGCGUAGACGGGAAUUUAAGUUAGUUGUGAAAUCACUCGGCUCAACUGAGGAACUGCAACUAAAACUGGAUUUCUUGAGUGCUGGAG